This 72-nucleotide transfer RNA is filed under the name Bos taurus (domestic cattle). It matches the Rfam family "tRNA". From Rfam's summary of the family: Transfer RNA (tRNA) molecules are approximately 80 nucleotides in length. RNAcentral also lists the same sequence under 4 other names. Lineage: Eukaryota; Metazoa; Chordata; Mammalia; Artiodactyla; Bovidae. The record is from Rfam by way of RNAcentral.
UCCCUGCUGGCUCAGACGGUAAAGAAUCCGCCUACAACGCGGGAGACCUGGGUUCGAUCCCUAGGUUGGGAA